This 90-nucleotide transfer RNA is filed under the name Patulibacter sp. Its description in RNAcentral is "tRNA-Ser". It matches the Rfam family "tRNA". From Rfam's summary of the family: Transfer RNA (tRNA) molecules are approximately 80 nucleotides in length. Their secondary structure includes four short double-helical elements and three loops (D, anti-codon, and T loops). RNAcentral also lists the same sequence under 1 other name. The record is from RNAcentral. Lineage: Bacteria; Bacillati; Actinomycetota; Thermoleophilia; Solirubrobacterales; Patulibacteraceae.
GGAGGGUUGGCAGAGCGGUUGAAUGCGACGGUCUUGAAAACCGUUAGGCGUGUAACCCACGUCUCGGGGGUUCGAAUCCCCCACCCUCCU